UGGGGAAUUUUGGACAAUGGGCGAAAGCCUGAUCCAGCAAUGCCGCGUGUGUGAAGAAGGCCUUCGGGUUGUAAAGCACUUUUGUCCGGAAAGAAAUCCUUGGCUCUAAUACAGUCGGGGGAUGACGGUACCGGAAGAAUAAGCACCGGCUAACUACGUGCCAGCAGCCGCGGUAAUACGUAGGGUGCAAGCGUUAAUCGGAAUUACUGGGCGUAAAGCGUGCGCAGGCGGUUUGCUAAGACCGAUGUGAAAUCCCCGGGCUCAACCUGGGAACUGCAUUGGUGACUGGCAGGCUAGAGUAUGGCAGAGGGGGGUAGAAUUCCACGUGUAGCAGUGAAAUGCGUAGAGAUGUGGAGGAAUACCGAUGGCGAAGGCAGCCCCCUGAGCCAAUACUGACGCUCAUGCACGAAAGCGUGGGGAGCAAACAGGAUUAGAUACCCUGGUAGUCCACGCCCUAAACGAUGUCAACUAGUUGUUGGGGAUUCAUUUCCUUAGUAACGUAGCUAACGCGUGAAGUUGACCGCCUGGGGAGUACGGUCGCAAGAUUAAAACUCAAAUGAAUUGACGGGGUCAUA
This 575-nucleotide ribosomal RNA is filed under the name uncultured bacterium. RNAcentral's name for it is "partial 16S ribosomal RNA". It matches the Rfam family "Bacterial small subunit ribosomal RNA", at positions 355 to 923 of the family's 1533-position model. The record is from RNAcentral.